AGCUGCGUAAGCAGAGGAAAGUCCAUGCUCGCACCUCCUGUGAUGGGGGUAGUGAUUGUGCUAAGGGAACCAAUAACCUUAGGUAAGGAGGAGUCCUUAACGGCGGAGGAAGAUCUCCCGUAGAUCGGAAUCCCCAAGGUGCCACAGAGACGAGCUUGGCGGCGACGCCAAGAUGAAACGCGGUAAACCCCACAAGCGAGAAACCCAAAUUUGGUAGGGGAAGCCACCGAUCCGAAUCGAAGGAAAGGCGGCCGGCGCAAGCCGAGAUAAAUUGUCGUCCUCGACAGAACAUGGCUUACAG
RNAcentral lists this RNase P RNA (301 nucleotides) under bovine gut metagenome. Its description in RNAcentral is "Bacterial RNase P class B". It matches the Rfam family "Bacterial RNase P class B". From Rfam's summary of the family: Ribonuclease P (RNase P) is a ubiquitous endoribonuclease, found in archaea, bacteria and eukarya as well as chloroplasts and mitochondria. Its best characterised activity is the generation of mature 5'-ends of tRNAs by cleaving the 5'-leader elements of precursor-tRNAs. The record is from RNAcentral.